Molecule: ribosomal RNA, 253 nt
Filed under: uncultured bacterium
Lineage: Bacteria
Description: partial 16S ribosomal RNA
Rfam family: Bacterial small subunit ribosomal RNA
Source: RNAcentral
UACGGGGGGGGCAAGCGUUGUUCGGAAUUACUGGGCGUAAAGGGCUCGUAGGCGGCCAACUAAGUCGGAUGUGAAAUCCCCAGGCUCAACCUGGGAACUGCAUCCGAUACUGGAUGGCUUGAAUUCGGGAGAGGGAUGCAGAAUUCCAGGUGUAGCGGUGAAAUGCAUAGAUAUCUGGAGGAAUACCGGUGGCGAAGGCGGCAUCCUGGACCGACAUUGACGCUGAUGAGCGAAAGCUAGGGGAGCAAACAGG